GUAUAAAAUCAUAAGCAUUAAAUAAAACUCUUAAUGUCUUUUUUUUUUUUUAAAAAUGUUCUUCAUCAAAUCUGUGAUCCACUCCCAGAACUUUACUCUGAGAUAUUAGAUAGGGAUUGGCACACUGGUCAGUUUCAGUGUCAUGAUAACCUAUUAUGCAAUUCUCCUGCUGGGCAGCGCGUUACAGAGUAUAGUGGUUUGCUGCUUAUCUAGGCCAAAUUUUGAAUUCUGGUAAACAAGAUGUGCGCGCUUACUCCGUGCCGAUUUGAAUGAGAAGACUUUGCACCAUAUAAACCACAAUAAUAACCUCGGGAUUUAUUAACUUUGAAUGCAUGGUGUUGGUUGCAUCAUCCGUAUUUUCAAAUUCCCACAUUCAAAAGACCCGCCUUUGGUGAAGGCAAAGGUAUUGUGCUAUUCUUUCCGAG
Long non-coding RNA from Saccostrea cuccullata (small rock oyster), 425 nucleotides. RefSeq lists it as uncharacterized. The record is from RefSeq and is a predicted model, not a curated record. The transcript is spliced from 3 exons. NCBI's taxonomy places the organism in Eukaryota, Metazoa, Mollusca, Bivalvia, Ostreida, Ostreidae.